RNAcentral lists this ribosomal RNA (375 nucleotides) under uncultured marine eukaryote. Its description in RNAcentral is "SSU rRNA". It matches the Rfam family "Eukaryotic small subunit ribosomal RNA", at positions 880 to 1255 of the family's 1831-position model. The record is from RNAcentral.
AGUUGGGGGCAUCAGUAUUCUGAAGCGAGAGGUGAAAUUCUUGGACCUUCGGAAGACUAACAACUGCGAAAGCAUUUGCCUAGGAUGUUCUCUUUAAUCAAGAACGAAAGUUGGGGGAUCGAAGACGAUCAGAUACCGUCGUAGUCUCAACUAUAAACUAUGCCAGCUAGGGAUUGGUGGACGUUUAUUUACGACUCCAUCAGCACCUUAUGAGAAAUCAAAGCAUUUGGGUUCCGGGGGGAGUAUGGUCGCAAGGCUGAAACUUAAAGGAAUUGACGGGAGGGCACCACCAGGAGUGGAGCCUGUGGCUAAAUUUGACUCAACACGGGAAAACUUACCAGGUCCGGACAUAGUAAGGAUUGACAGAUUGAUAGC